Molecule: long non-coding RNA, 503 nt
Organism: Acipenser ruthenus (sterlet)
Lineage: Eukaryota; Metazoa; Chordata; Actinopteri; Acipenseriformes; Acipenseridae
Exons: 3
Source: RefSeq, a predicted model, not a curated record
GCGUACAGCUCGAUCACGUGAUGAGGGUAAUCUCUUGCUUUGCGUUUUUACGUUGCUUGUGUGAAGAAAUGAAAAUUCCAUAUAACACGAUUGAGUGUAUAUUUAAAUACUAGUUUUAAUGGUGAGGUAAAUGUUGAAGAGUGCUAGGAUGCAGGUGUUCUUGAGGUGAUUUCCUGUGGCUUUGUUGCUAGAGCACCAGUGCGGACACUGUGGGACUAGCUACAAGGACAUGGGAGACGGACAGCAUGGAGCUUUGAAGAGCGAUUAUGCUGAAACUCCCUGGAUUCUGUUCAGUGGACUGUGCCCAAGGACACCCUCCAUUUAAAAAUAAUGUGUAAAUCUUGUGCGGUUGGAACCCAUUUUAUAAUGGGUGACUGCCUUGAGCACUGGGGAGACUCUGGGGGGGGCACCUGGGGGCGGGGAAGGCAUGUAUGUAAAUAGUUGUGGUUUUGAUUUUUACAAUAUGAAUAUACAGUGUGUUAAAUAAAGUUUUCAAUUUUUUA